RNAcentral lists this transfer RNA (84 nucleotides) under Nitrospina sp. RNAcentral's name for it is "tRNA-Leu". It matches the Rfam family "tRNA". Rfam says of the family: Transfer RNA (tRNA) molecules are approximately 80 nucleotides in length. Their secondary structure includes four short double-helical elements and three loops (D, anti-codon, and T loops). The record is from RNAcentral. Lineage: Bacteria; Pseudomonadati; Nitrospinota; Nitrospinia; Nitrospinales; Nitrospinaceae.
GCCGGAGUGGUGAAAUUGGCAUACACAACGGCUUUAGGAGCCGUCUCCCGUAAGGGAUUGCGGGUUCGAGUCCCGCCUCCGGCA